AUGGCUCAAUGUCUAGUUAGCGGCCAGUAUCAAGCGGAGUGCCCCAAGCGUCAGUCCUGGGGCCGGUUUUGUUCAACAUCUUCAUUAAUGAUCUGGAGGAUGGCAUGGAUUGCACCCUCAGCAAGUUUGCAGACGACACUAAACUGGGAGGAGUGGCCUGCACUCCAGGCGCAUUUUGGACACUGUGGUGUCGGAGCCUGCCCCGGGGUUGCCCUGGUACAGCUGUGUUGUGUAUGUGGACGAUCAGCUCACCUAUGUCUACACCAGUGGGACGAAGAGGGCGGAGCCCUACACACUGUGGAUGGCGCAGAACGAGGGUUCGGAGUUCUGGGACGAGGUGACCUGGUGGGGACAGCGCUUCCAGAAAUGGUACAAUUCGUGUCUGAACACCCUGAGUCAGCUCUACAACCGGACCGAGGGUGAGUGAGGGAUGCAGGGAAAUGGGGUGGGGGUUGGGAGUGUGGUUGAUGUAAACAGGGUGAAGGGACACCGGGAUGUGUGUUGGAGAUGGGGGGAGGGGACAGAGCCCGAAGGCGCAUUUUCUCGCUGGAGUCAGUGUGAAUGUGGGGGACAAAGGGAUAUGGGAUGGGGGGAGGGGCUGCAGGAUGGAGGGUCCAUGCGAAAGAAAUUUUUUUGACACCCUCCAAAGUGGGACUCUCAGAUUGUCCCCUCCCCAAACAGCCCAGACUUCUGCUACCAGUCCCACUUGCAGCUGCCUCUGCUGCCCUUCGGGGGGGCCCCCUCCCACCCCCGCCCUUUCCCAGACAUAUAUUUCCCAGACAGAGUGGCAAAGGUGCAAAAGCCAGAAGUUCCCAGCAGACCCGGCUAAUCCGACUUCCUGGUGACACAGGCCAGAGAAUCGCACCCAGCGAUUUCUGGACUGGGGGUUUGUUCCUCCUGGCUACAACAGUGACUCUGUCACACCCUAGAACUAGAACAGGGUUCUGAGACGUCUUGUCUCAAUUCCCAGAUAUCGAGUGAUGGGGAACCCCAAUAUCGACAGCCCCAAGUGUUCAGACAUCACGAGUCAGACCCCCAAAAUCCUGAGUUUGGCUUAAGCGUUGUAAGUAUUUGGGGAAUAAUAUUGGAGCUUAUUUUUAUUUGCCCUCUGGUUUGAGGCCUUAGGGGACACAUUUCUGGGGUUUUCCCUGCUGCUAGAAAGACUAGAAGUUACUGCUGUAAGAAAAGAGAGCUGAGACUUUCCCCUAAUCCCAUGAGUCCAGGAACUGGGGAUUUAUUAAAACCACCCACUAUCAUGAAACGCACAGUAAAGUCACAAGAGCAGGCCGUGCUGCAUUCACCCCAGCCCUGGGGAGAAGCUGCUCACCAGUGAGCCUCCUUCAUUGUUCACUUUGUCUUAUUUCCAGAGUGAGUUUUUCUCAGGUCAGACUCCGCAGAGUGUCAUCAACUUGGGCUGGAGAGU
Molecule: long non-coding RNA, 1423 nt
Filed under: Chrysemys picta bellii (western painted turtle)
Lineage: Eukaryota; Metazoa; Chordata; Testudines; Emydidae
Description: lncRNA (ENSCPBG00000000946.1)
Source: RNAcentral